RNAcentral lists this RNase P RNA (329 nucleotides) under human gut metagenome. RNAcentral describes it as "Bacterial RNase P class A". It matches the Rfam family "Bacterial RNase P class A". Rfam says of the family: Ribonuclease P (RNase P) is a ubiquitous endoribonuclease, found in archaea, bacteria and eukarya as well as chloroplasts and mitochondria. The record is from RNAcentral.
ACCGCGGGAUACGAGAGUAUCAUGAGGAAAGUCCGAGCAUCACAGAGCAGGGUAGCUGAUAACGUCAGCCGAGGGCGACCUUAGGGCUAGUGCAACAGAGAUAUACCGCAGCGUUUUCACGGACGCUGUAAGGGUGGAAAGGCGAGGUAAGAGCUCACCGGGGCAUAGGUGACUAUGCCGCCAUGUAAACCCUAUCCGAUGCAACACCGAUUGGUGCGGGGAGAUACGCGUCUGCUCGGCGCGCCUCGUUGAAAGGUGGCUUGACCCUGUCGGCGACGGCAGGGCUAGAUAGAUGGUCAUACGCGACAGAACUCGGCUUACCGAUGGAG